Molecule: non-coding RNA, 29 nt
Filed under: Homo sapiens (human)
Lineage: Eukaryota; Metazoa; Chordata; Mammalia; Primates; Hominidae
Source: RNAcentral
UGAGAAGGAUGAGAUGGUGAGUGCCAGAU